RNAcentral lists this ribosomal RNA (253 nucleotides) under uncultured bacterium. RNAcentral describes it as "partial 16S ribosomal RNA". It matches the Rfam family "Bacterial small subunit ribosomal RNA", at positions 524 to 776 of the family's 1533-position model. The record is from RNAcentral.
UACGGGGGGGGCAAGCGUUGUUCGGAAUUACUGGGCGUAAAGGGCUCGUAGGCGGCCAACUAAGUCAGACGUGAAAUCCCUCAGCUUAACUGGGGAACUGCGUCUGAUACUGGAUGGCUUGAGUUCGGGAGAGGGAUGCGGAAUUCCAGGUGUAGCGGUGAAAUGCGUAGAUAUCUGGAGGAACACCGGUGGCGAAGGCGGGUCUCUGGGCCGAUACUGACGCUGAGGAGCGAAAGCGUGGGGAGCGAACAGG